GAUGAACGCUAGCGAUAGGCUUAACACAUGCAAGUCGAGGGGCAGCAUGGUCUUAGCUUGCUAAGGCUGAUGGCGACCGGCGCACGGGUGCGUAACGCGUAUGCAACUUGCCUCACAGAGGGGGAUCCCGUCGAAAGACGGACUAAUACCGCGUACACUCUAUGUUGGGCAUCCAAUGUAGAGGAAAUGAAAUUCGCUGUGAGAUAGGCAUGCGUCCCAUUAGCUAGUUGGUGAGGUAACGGCUCACCAAGGCGACGAUGGGUAGGGGAACUGAGAGGUUGAACCCCCACACUGGUACUGAGACACGGACCAGACUCCUACGGGAGGCAGCAGUGAGGAAUAUUGGUCAAUGGGCGAGAGCCUGAACCAGCCAAGUCGCGUGAAGGAUGACUGUCUUAUGGAUUGUAAACUUCUUUUAUACGGGAAUAACAAGAGUCACGUGUGGCUCCCUGCAUGUACCGUAUGAAUAAGCAUCGGCUAACUCCGUG
This 488-nucleotide ribosomal RNA is filed under the name uncultured bacterium. RNAcentral's name for it is "partial 16S ribosomal RNA". It matches the Rfam family "Bacterial small subunit ribosomal RNA", at positions 28 to 507 of the family's 1533-position model. The record is from RNAcentral.